RNAcentral lists this long non-coding RNA (1084 nucleotides) under Glycine max (soybean). Its description in RNAcentral is "long non-coding RNA (GMAX_LNC003877)". The record is from RNAcentral. Lineage: Eukaryota; Viridiplantae; Streptophyta; Magnoliopsida; Fabales; Fabaceae.
GACAUUGUUUUUUUUAUAAAAGACGUAUCCAUUUAAGAGAUAAAAAGAGACAAUUUAUUUUUGGGGGGGAAAAAAACUGUACGUCUUAUUUACUACAAUACUAAAAACAUAUUCAGCCCUUUAAGUGGAACUAAACAAAAGUGUUAAUACUUGAAAGAGGACAUAUUGACUACUCAUACUUCAGAAACUUACUCAAAUAAAUUGCAAUUAAUAUAUUAAACAAUGAUACACUUACUAAAAAAGAAUGAAGGCAUAAAAGCUAUAGUCUACUAAUUAACUAAACAUCAAAGGUUAUAAACAAGAUACAGAGAGACAUAGGAAGAACAGAACAGAACAGAACAUAUCUAUAUAUUUCUAUUUGAUAAUAUAUAUAUAUAUAUAUAUAUAUAUAUAUAUAUAUAUAUAUAUAUAUAUAUAUGGAUUAUGCGCGCUAAGCAUAGGAAGGGGAACAAGCUAUGCAAGCUAGAAAGAGAAUGGCAGAAGAAGCGCCAUCCUCUUCCAGAUUGGAGCUGCUCCUCUUGAACUUGCCAGCUUUUCCUUUGUUGCACUGAAUUUGUUUCUGCAGCUGCUGUUGCUGAUUCUGUGCUUGUGGUUGCAUUUGCUUGUUCCUCUUCAUUGCUUCUUCCACUUUAGACACCAUUAUUUCCUUAAGUGAUGUUGAUAAGCAAACUGAAAUAGAAAAAUUAGGAGACAAGAGAGAGAAUAUUGUGCAUGGAAACAGCCCUACAUGCACCUUCUCCUUUUAUAGAGUUUUUUGGUACGAAAUUGCCCUUGGUGUAAUACAAUGGAUAUUUGCCAGGUUUCACUUAGCUAUCAGUUACUUCAAGUGGUAUAAGGUUGGGACCCCCUUUCCCAUAUUAAUAAAAAUUAUGAGAUAGAUGCCAACCAAGAACGUUUUGCUCUUCUUGUAUAUAUGUUUACAAUAUAUCCAAGUUGUAAACUUGGAACGAACUAGUACCAUUGACAAAUGACAACUACAUAUUACCAUUAUCACAGACAGAUCCCUACUUUGCACUGUUAUGCCAAACUUGAUGAAUUCCAACAUUUGAUGGUAAAUUUCGCAAAUCUGUAUUACCCAUAUAAA